AUACGUAGGGGGCGAGCGUUGUCCGGAAUCACUGGGCGUAAAGGGCGUGUAGGCGGCCUGUUAAGUCAGGCGUGAAACCCCUGGGCUUAACCUGGGGACUGCGCUUGAAACUGGUGGGCUUGAGGGCAGGAGAGGAAAGUGGAAUUCCCGGUGUAGCGGUGAUAUGCGUAGAUACCGGGAGGAACACCAGUGGCGAAGGCGGCUUUCUGGACUGCACCUGACGCUGAGGCGCGAAAGCCAGGGGAGCGAACGGGAUUAGAUACCCCGGUAGUCCUGGCCGUAAACGAUGGGUACUAGGUGUGGGAGGUAUCGACUCCUUCCGUGCCGGAGUUAACACAAUAAGUACCCCGCCUGGGGAGUACGGCCGCAAGGCUGAA
RNAcentral lists this ribosomal RNA (377 nucleotides) under uncultured bacterium. RNAcentral's name for it is "bacterial SSU rRNA". It matches the Rfam family "Bacterial small subunit ribosomal RNA", at positions 523 to 898 of the family's 1533-position model. The record is from RNAcentral.